UGCAAGUCGAACGCUGAUUUCAGGGUAGCAAUAUUCUGAAGUCGGAGUGGCGCAAGGGUGCGUAACACGUGGGCAAUUUGCCAAGAAGUUUGGGAUAACUCGCUGAAAGGCGAGCUAAUACCGGAUGUGAUGUUUGGGAGGCAUCUCCUGAACCUUAAAGCUGGGGACCGUAAGGCCUGGCGCUUCUUGAUAAGCCCGCGGCCUAUCAGCUAGUUGGUGAGGUAAUGGCUCACCAAGGCUAAGACGGGUAGCUGGUCUGAGAGGACGACCAGCCUCACUGGAACUGAGAUACGGUCCAGACACCUACGGGUGGCAGCAGUCGAGAAUUUUUCUCAAUGGGCGAAAGCCUGAUGCAGCGACGCCGCGUGAGGGAUGACGGCCUUCGGGUUGUAAACCUCUUUCAGCAGGGACGAAGCGCAAGUGACGGUACCUGCAGAAGAAGCACCGGCUAACUACGUGCCAGCAGCCGCGGUAAUACGUAGGGUGCGAGCGUUGUCCGGAAUUAUUGGGCGUAAAGAGCUCGUAGGCGGUUUGUCGCGUCGGCCGUGAAAACUUGGGGCUUAACCCCAAGCUUGCGGUCGAUACGGGCAGACUUGAGUUCGGCAGGGGAGACUGGAAUUCCUGGUGUAGCGGUGAAAUGCGCAGAUAUCAGGAGGAACACCGGUGGCGAAGGCGGGUCUCUGGGCCGACACUGACGCUGAGGAGCGAAAGCGUGGGGAGCGAACAGGAUUAGAUACCCUGGUAGUCCACGCCGUAAACGGUGGGUGCUAGGUGUGGGGGGCUUCCACGCCCUCUGUGCCGCAGCUAACGCAUUAAGCACCCCGCCUGGGGAGUACGGCCGCAAGGCUAAAACUCAAAGGAAUUGACGGGGCCCGCACAAGCGGCGGAGCAUGUGGAUUAAUUCGAUGCAACGCGAAGAACCUUACCU
Molecule: ribosomal RNA, 928 nt
Filed under: uncultured Pseudonocardiaceae bacterium
Lineage: Bacteria; Bacillati; Actinomycetota; Actinomycetes; Pseudonocardiales; Pseudonocardiaceae
Description: bacterial SSU rRNA
Rfam family: Bacterial small subunit ribosomal RNA
Source: RNAcentral